This 253-nucleotide ribosomal RNA is filed under the name uncultured bacterium. RNAcentral describes it as "partial 16S ribosomal RNA". It matches the Rfam family "Bacterial small subunit ribosomal RNA", at positions 524 to 776 of the family's 1533-position model. The record is from RNAcentral.
UACGGAGGGGGCUAGCGUUGUUCGGAAUCACUGGGCGUAAAGCGCGCGCAGGUGGCUUGGAAAGUCAGAGGUGAAAUCCCGGAGCUUAACUUCGGAAUUGCCUUUGAAACUCUCAAGCUAGAGUAUGGUAGAGGAUGGCGGAAUUCCUAGUGUAGAGGUGAAAUUCGUAGAUAUUAGGAGGAACACCAGUGGCGAAGGCGGCCAUCUGGGCCAUUACUGACACUGAGGCGCGAAAGCGUGGGGAGCAAACAGG